Molecule: ribosomal RNA, 509 nt
Filed under: uncultured bacterium
Lineage: Bacteria
Description: partial 16S ribosomal RNA
Rfam family: Bacterial small subunit ribosomal RNA
Source: RNAcentral
GAUGAACGCUAGCUACAGGCUUAACACAUGCAAGUCGAGGGGAAACGACAUCGAAAGCUUGCUUUUGAUGGGCGUCGCCCGGCGCACGGGUGAGUAACGCGUAUCCAACCUGUCCAUAACUUGGGGAUAACCUUGCGAAAGUAAGAGUAAUGCUCAACGAUAUCUCAAGAAGACAUCUGAAAGAGAUUAAAGAUUUAUCGGUGAUGGAUGGGGAUGCGUCUGAAUAGCUUGUUGGCGGGGUAACGUCCCACCAAGGCGACGGUCGAGUAGAGGUUCUGAGAGGAAGGUCCCCCACAUUGGAACUGAGACACGGUCCAAACUCCUACGGGAGGCAGCAGUGAGGAAUAUUGGUCAAUGGGCGAGAGCCUGAACCAGCCAAGUAGCGUGCAGGAAGACGGCCCUAUGGGUUGUAAACUGCUUUUAUAAGGGAAUAAAGUGAGUCUCGUGAGACUUUUUGCAUGUACCUUAUGAAUAAGGACCGGCUAAUUCCGUGCCAGCCGCCGCCGUAA